CCCGUAAAGGGCAAACCCGUCGCGAGGCGGGGACGCAAAGCCACGGGUCAGUCGGCGAAGACUGACAGCCGGG
RNAcentral lists this non-coding RNA (73 nucleotides) under Acidobacteriota bacterium. RNAcentral's name for it is "Acidobacteria bacterium c-di-GMP sequence". It matches the Rfam family "c-di-GMP-I-GGC riboswitch aptamer", at positions 1 to 71 of the family's 80-position model. Lineage: Bacteria; Pseudomonadati; Acidobacteriota. The record is from RNAcentral.